This 538-nucleotide ribosomal RNA is filed under the name Trichoderma harzianum. RNAcentral's name for it is "eukaryotic LSU rRNA". The stretch from base 173 to 326 matches the Rfam family "5.8S ribosomal RNA". Lineage: Eukaryota; Fungi; Ascomycota; Sordariomycetes; Hypocreales; Hypocreaceae. The record is from RNAcentral.
UAACGUUACCAAACUGUUGCCUCGGCGGGAUCUCUGCCCCGGGUGCGUCGCAGCCCCGGACCAAGGCGCCCGCCGGAGGACCAACCAAAACUCUUUUUGUAUACCCCCUCGCGGGUUUUUUAUAAUCUGAGCCUUCUCGGCGCCUCUCGUAGGCGUUUCGAAAAUGAAUCAAAACUUUCAACAACGGAUCUCUUGGUUCUGGCAUCGAUGAAGAACGCAGCGAAAUGCGAUAAGUAAUGUGAAUUGCAGAAUUCAGUGAAUCAUCGAAUCUUUGAACGCACAUUGCGCCCGCCAGUAUUCUGGCGGGCAUGCCUGUCCGAGCGUCAUUUCAACCCUCGAACCCCUCCGGGGGGUCGGCGUUGGGGAUCGGCCCUGCCUCUUGGCGGUGGCCGUCUCCGAAAUACAGUGGCGGUCUCGCCGCAGCCUCUCCUGCGCAGUAGUUUGCACACUCGCAUCGGGAGCGCGGCGCGUCCACAGCCGUUAAACACCCAACUUCUGAAAUGUUGACCUCGGAUCAGGUAGGAAUACCCGCUGAACU